This is a non-coding RNA of Podarcis lilfordi (Lilford's wall lizard), 117 nucleotides long. NCBI's taxonomy places the organism in Eukaryota, Metazoa, Chordata, Lepidosauria, Squamata, Lacertidae. The record is from the annotation of a GenBank genome assembly.
UGUCCAGUAGCACCUUAGAGACCAACUAAGUUUGUUCUGGGUAUAAGCUUUCGUGUGCGUGCACACUUCUUCAGAUACCAGAACAAACUUAGUUGGUCUCUAAGGUGCUACUGGACA